Long non-coding RNA from Liolophura sinensis, 1070 nucleotides. RefSeq lists it as uncharacterized. The transcript is spliced from 3 exons. NCBI's taxonomy places the organism in Eukaryota, Metazoa, Mollusca, Polyplacophora, Chitonida, Chitonidae. The record is from RefSeq and is a predicted model, not a curated record.
CAACAGACUUUCUAUUAAAAUGAACAGAAUAAUUUUUUCGGUGUAAAGGUAUUUUUAAAUUCGCUAACCGCUCACUGUUGGGCUUUAAAAAGGCGAAGAAUUCUUUUGGCCAGUGUGAACAGAAGCCUCAUAUUUUUCAUGGGAACAGUGUUCAGUAUUCUGAUCCAGUUUCUUGGCGUUACACAAACAACAAUUUACGUCAAACACCGAUGACAUUUCACGAUUUGAAAGGUGAUAGCCUUACACAAACUAUGUCAGGCCAACACAUGACGUGUCUCGCUUGAAAGCAUUGCGUUUUGCUACUUAACAACCUUCUUAGCGACAACACGGCGUAAGGUAUGUGUAAGUCAGUACAAGAAUGUUCUAGAACAGAAGCUGGGCGUGUAAGGUAAGUUAUUUGCAAAUACAUAACUCUGAUUCAACUACUACUACCACGAGUAACAAUGUGAAACGUUUCCUAAUUACGAAACAAUGUUCCAGAUAUGGGUGUCUAGCGGCAGUUUUUACAGUCAUCAAGGUGAAUGAACCAGGGCGAGUCCAUGUCGCCAAAGCUCUUCCGCCACUGAAGGAUCAUGCCGAAGACACAGGCUUGCAUCAUCCAGAUAUACAGAUUUUGCGAUUAUGCCCCCCAAAAGCCCGCUGAUUUGGACACGCAAGUGUACAUCGAUAUCCUCGGAUCCAAGGUAGGGUGCAUUUGUUAAAAGCUAGACGUGUUUUAUGACACCUUGUAUUUUAAAUGCCAGUUGAUAAUACGGCACAAGCUGUAAGCAAAUGCGCAGUCCACGCCUAUCCUGAAGUAUGGUGCAAUCGCAGUAAGGCGGGUAUCAUUUCGUUUUAUUUUUCCCGUGUUUUAUAUGAGGAAGUUAUAUAAAUAUACAUAUAUAUACAUAUACAUUCCCAAUACAAUGUAACAGAAGUAUGUAAUAUAUGGUAUAUGGAGUAUUGCCGGCAUGAACAUAAGUAUGUGUGUAUGUUCGUUGGGGUUCAACGUCGUACUAUUUUUCAGUCAUGAAGUGUGUAUAUAUAGUGUCUUCUUGUGGCAAGGGUCCGCUUCGGGAGCGGUAGAUUUA